Molecule: ribosomal RNA, 470 nt
Filed under: uncultured bacterium
Lineage: Bacteria
Description: bacterial SSU rRNA
Rfam family: Bacterial small subunit ribosomal RNA
Source: RNAcentral
AUUGAACGCUGGCGGCGUGCUUAACACAUGCAAGUCGAGCGGCAGCGCGGGAGCAAUCCUGGCGGCGAGCGGCGAACGGGUGAGUAAUGCUUCGGAAUCUGCCCUUCAGUGGGGAAUAACCAGUCGAAAGACUGGCUAAUACCGCAUACGAACUGAGGUUGAAAGCAGGGGAUCGCAAGACCUUGCGCUGAUGGAUGAGCCGAAGUCGGAUUAGCUUGUUGGUGGGGUAAAGGCCUACCAAGGCGACGAUCAGUAGCUGGUCUGAGAGGAUGAUCAGCCACACUGGGACUGAGACACGGCCCAGACUCCUACGGGAGGCAGCAGUGGGGAAUAUUGGACAAUGGGCGGCAAGCCUGAUCCAGCCAUGCCGCGUGAGUGAUGAAGGCCUUAGGGUUGUAAAGCUCUUUCACCCGGGACGAUAAUGACGGUACCGGGACGAAGAAGACUGCGGCUAACUACGUGCCAGCAGC